Athalia rosae (coleseed sawfly) is the source of this 842-nucleotide long non-coding RNA. RefSeq lists it as uncharacterized. NCBI's taxonomy places the organism in Eukaryota, Metazoa, Arthropoda, Insecta, Hymenoptera, Athaliidae. The record is from RefSeq and is a predicted model, not a curated record. The transcript is spliced from 3 exons.
CACAAAAAUAGAUCAAAGAUUAGAUCAUAUGAAGAAACUGAAUCGCAGGUGCACAACACUCGAGUUGUUGUUAAGAAUAUCACUCCUAGCUCAAUUCGCUCGAUGGAUUUGUAUUUCUGAGGUCUGCGAUACACGUGAGAAAAGCGUCCCGCAAUUUAUGAUUUACCGGCCGAUCAAUUAUUCAUUGUUGCGACGCGCGAGUAACAACGGAUUUAUAAGUUUUUCGCAGUCGUAGUACGCAGCCAUCAUCUGGCUUUUGAAGCGUACAACUCCGCCGCUAUUGGUUUUACCUUCUGCCCUGAACCAGAUUGUUAACGACCGUCCUGGCCUUAUACGAGCGUCGAGUCGUGAUUCGUGCUCUACGGCACGGCACCGCGAUCACAUCAACGUCAGCUACAACAAUUGUCCAAGAGUUGUACGUACACGGGGUGCGGAACGCUAAAUGUCCAAGUCAACACCUUACACCCGACCCUUUCUGAGAACCAACGCGUUCAACGGCGUUACGACAUUCGUCACGGGGCCCAGAUGGUUCUAAUUGUAAAUCGCCUCCGAAGAAAGUCACGAUUGCACCGCGUUACUACGGAGUCUGAGCAACUUCGCACACCCACAUAUUCGCACUCGCGAGGACCAAGGAUAUUCAGAUCCUUUCCGAUUCGCUCAGCCUCGAGGUAUCCGACUGCAAUGUCAGCUCUGUUUUUUCUGCAUUCCAAAUUUUGAUGGCUGUUCGGCCUGCAGAAUUUUCCGGCAGAACCAGUGACACUUUUCAACGGGGGGAGAGUCGUUCAUUGGUACCUGUAGGGAAAGAAGUGAAACGAAAUGAAAUAAGAUAGAAUGAAAUGAAA